CAGCAGCCGCGGUAAUACAGAGGGUGCGAGCGUUAAUCGGAUUUACUGGGCGUAAAGCGUGCGUAGGCGGCUUCUUAAGUCGGAUGUGAAACCCCUGAGCUUAACUUAGGAAUUGCAUUCGAUACUGGGAAGCUAGAGUAUGGGAGAGGAUGGUGGAAUUCCAGGUGUAGCGGUGAAAUGCGUAGAGAUCUGGAGGAAUACCGAUGGCGAAGGCAGCCAUCUGGCCUAAUACUGGCGCUGAGGUACGAAAGCAUGGGGAGCAAACAGGAUUAGAUACCCGUGUAGUCCCUGUCUCUUAUAC
This 301-nucleotide ribosomal RNA is filed under the name uncultured bacterium. RNAcentral describes it as "partial 16S ribosomal RNA". It matches the Rfam family "Bacterial small subunit ribosomal RNA", at positions 509 to 807 of the family's 1533-position model. The record is from RNAcentral.